AAUAGAUACCCCGGUAGUCCACGCCCUAAACUAUGUCGACUAGUUGUUGGGGGAGUCUGUCCCUCAGUAACGUAGCUAACGCGUGAAGUCGACCGCCUGGGGAGUACGGUCGCAAGAUUAAAACUCAAAGGAAUUGACGGGGACCCGCACAAGCGGUGGAUUAUGUGGAUUAAUUCGAUGCAACGCGAAGAACCUUACCUACCCUUGACAUGCCAGGAACCUCGCAGAGAUGUGAGGGUGCCCGAAAGGGAACCUGGACACAGGUGCUGCAUGGCUGUCGUCAGCUCGUGUCGUGAGAUGUUGGGUUAAGUCCCGCAACGAGCGCAACCCUUGCCAUUAGUUGCUACAUUCAGUUGGGCACUCUAAUGGGACUGCCGGUGACAAACCGGAGGAAGGUGGGGAUGACGUCAAGUCCUCAUGGCCCUUAUGGGUAGGGCUUCACACGUAAUACAAUGGCGCAUACAGAGGCUGCAAACCCGCGAGGGGGAGCCGAAUCCCAAAAAGUGCGUCGUAGUCCGGAUUGUUCUCUGCAACUCGAG
This 539-nucleotide ribosomal RNA is filed under the name uncultured bacterium. Its description in RNAcentral is "bacterial SSU rRNA". It matches the Rfam family "Bacterial small subunit ribosomal RNA", at positions 777 to 1316 of the family's 1533-position model. The record is from RNAcentral.